UUUUUGUUUCGUUUCUCUCGCUUUAUUAAUAUUUAUGUGUGUCUGGGGGCGUGUUUUUAAUUAAGCGGGUCCACGGGACUCCAACUUGCACCAGAACAGCUCCCGGGGCAGCAGUCGGAAACCGGAGAUGCUGCUCAUCAUGUCCGCCGGAGUGCGAUCCGUAGGCUUCAGGUGGUAGCGCAGGACCAACUGGAAGAUCAGGGACUUCACCUCCAUGAGAGCCAGCCGGUUGCCUAUGCAGCUUCGUUGGCCCACUCCAAAGGGCAGGUACGUGAACUGCCGGAUCUCGUGCUUGUGCUCCUCGUCAAAGCGCUCCGGUCGGAAUUGCUCGGGUUCCGGGAAGUUAUCCGGGUCGUGAUGAAGUGCCCCCACGUUGAUGUGCACUAAGUCGUCCUCCCGCAGGUUAACCACCACCUCGCCUUCCUCAUCCUUCAACUGGAAAUCAGACCCACACAUUCGAUCCACGAUGAACGCCGGUGGCCACUUUCUCAGCGACUCGGACACCACGCAGUUCAGAUAUUUCAUGCCCAUCAGGGUGUCGUAGUCUAGUGGCUUCUCACCCAGCUGCUCCUUUACGGCCAGGAUCUCCGCGAGCAAUUUUUCUUGCACUUCGGGGUUCAUCAUAAGUUCGUAGCUGGUGAAGCUAAGGCAGGUGGCCACUGUUUCGAAUCCUGCCGAGAAGAACAAGAGGCACUGGGCCAGCAAGUCGUCAUCGUUGAAUUCGGCCUUAUCCUGCUGUGCUGCACUCUCCGCAGAUCCUUCUUGCUCUGCCUUAAACUGUCUCUGCGCCUCCAUCAGCAAAUGAAUCAUAUCGGGCCGCACGAUACUCUGCUCCUUUCGAUACUUCAUGGCACCGAAGACCAGCUUUUUGAAGUAGUCCACGUUAUUCAUGUCCAUCACGGGGACCCGAAGUGCCUAAAAGGGCGGAAAGGUUUUACAAUUUGAAAAAAGAAUGGAGUGGUGAUGUCUUUACCUUCAUCAAUUUUGGCAUCAGAAUGUAUAGCAUUACUUUGAGUCCGCCCCAGAAAGUAAACUCUGAAAUGCGCUGCCCGAUGGAAAAGAACUCGUUGUUGGGAUCCUUGAAGGAAUUCACUUGGAUGCCAAAGGCAGCCGUCGCGAUCACGUCGUUGGUGUAGCGCGUGAAGAAGUCCUUUAGCUCCAGUUCGGAAGUGCCGGCAUCCAGUUGGCGCUGCACGAAGUCCACCGCCUCUACAUUGCAGAAAUGGAUGAGCUCGAACAUCUGUCGGAUUUUGAGGCUGGUGAAAGUAGGCGUCAGGGUGCUGCGCAUUUGCUUCCAGCGACGAUCCCGCAGACUGAGCAAGCUCUUGGAAAUCACGCUGGUAUCGUUGAAUCCUUCAGUUAUCCCCUUGCGAUGGUUGGUGAAGGUAUCGAAGUUCUUGAUGCCCACCUGGCGAAUGAGUUCCGGGUCGGAGAGAUAGUAUAGGGGAUCCCGCAGGUUGAAGACUCCAUAGACCUUGUGCUGCUUCAGGCGCAAGUGCAGGUCAAUGCUAAUAGAAACGCACCGACCACGGAAUAUUUCCUAGCAGAGGAAUUGGCUUUUCGUGGGCCACGCCCCUCUUCGAGAAAUACCCGAAGGUGUAGACGGACCAUUUGUACAAUAGCAAACCGAUGAAGGCUACGAAUAUCGACAACUCCACGAAAACCAUGACGGGAUUUUGGGGAUGGAGCGUGGGAGUAGGGAGUAGGGGACUCUAAUCGAGCUGCGCAGCGCGUGGAGGUUCCGAAAAAUUCAGAGAGCUACUUCGCCAGUCAACAGACGGUACGCCACUGAAAUAAACAAUGUGCGCUCUUUCUGUAUAUAUAUAAGCUAUCUCGGAGAGAGAUACUAUAGGCACAUAUAUAGCGGGAGAGAAAAAACCGGCAAAACGUGUGAGUGUGUGUAUGAGUUUACCUGAUUAAGCGAAAGCGAAAUAAAAAACAAACAUUAAAAG
This is a non-coding RNA of Drosophila melanogaster (fruit fly), 1952 nucleotides long. Lineage: Eukaryota; Metazoa; Arthropoda; Insecta; Diptera; Drosophilidae. The record is from Ensembl.